CAUUUCAUAUAUAAGAAUAUCACACAGUGGUGAAUAACAGUACAGCCUAUUUCACAUCACUCUUAUUCAUGUUACAAAUAAGAACACCACAAUAACACAACCUCGAGACAUCCAGGGCACCUCCAAGCAGCACCUCUUAUUUGAACUUUCAUGCUGGGCAGAGCAUGAACAGAUAAUACCAUGACUAAGGAACCUUGGUUCUCUUAAGAAGAUGGAUACAUGGUUGUGCUCUUCUGGAGUGCCCAAGACAUGUGCUUACGCUUGAUGAAGUCCGAAGCCACCGAAUCCACAUCUGUGUUCACGUCAUCUUUCUUGAUAGGAUUGGCAUGGUUGUCCUGAAACCUGACUUGUUUCUUGGGCGCUUGGACAUGGUUCGCUCCUACUGCUGCUUCUUUCUUCAUAACACUGGCAUGGUUGUCCUGAAAGUUGGCAUGGGGAUGGUGGGCUUGAAAGUAGAGCAUUCGAGUGUGCGACAUUGCUCUGUGGCUCCUUGCGUGGGGGUACGAGGAAAUGCUGGAAGGGUAGGAACUGGUUUGUUGCUGUGAUUGCUCUUGUCCUCUUUUAUAGGCCCAUAAGGAUGCUUAUUCUUAGACGGCAAGUGGGCAUCAUAUUCUCCACUGCUGACAAUUUUGAGAUAUUUUUCGUGUUCUCUUUCUUGUUAGCUUUCUUCAUUCAAAUUUGUUAGGCGUUGAAUGACUCCAUCUUUAUCUUGUAAAGUAAUUUUGCUUGCUAGGGCUUCUCGCUUAGCGUGGACCUAAGUUAUGUUCCUUCUGCAGUUCUUUUUUCAUAGGACGCAGUUGAGUUGUUUUCCCACUUCCGCUCAUAAAGAUAAGUAAUAUCUUCUUUCAUAUGCUGGAUUAUAAUUUUGUCCACCUUUCGUUAACUAUGAAUAACAAGGCAAGUGCUAAACAUAUAUAUGGUCUAGCUCUUUUACUGGGUUUAUUUGUUUCACUGUAUUUUUAGUUAAUUUCAAAUCUGUGACUGUCUACAUGAACUCUGAUUGAGUGAUAGUUGUGCUGCACCGAUUUGUAAUAUAUUCAGUCCCAACGAUCCAUCAAACAACUGGGACAAAAAAAACCUUUUCUUUCUUUAUGUUUUUCUGGAAGGGCGUGUAUCAGAAUUGAUGAUAAUCUGCUUCAAAUUUUGUUUUUGUAGUAGAGGUAGGAGCCCAUGAUUUUAGAACCAUGCUCUGGUGUAUAGUGUCUGCAACUAUUACUACAUUAUUCGCCUACGCCUGUUCCUUGUGGCGAAAAGCUAUUCCUGUUGCUCCUUUCCUUUGCAUAUGAUCCUAAACCUAUCAUCUUUCUGUUUCUGAAAGGGUGUGCAUCAGAACGGCCAUUGAGCUGCUUCGAAGGCAUCAUUACCUUUUUCUAAAGGUGUGCAUGAAUUUAAAGCCAUGCUCUGGUGUAUGUAUAGAUGCUGCAACUAUUACAAACAUUAUACGUGUAUGUAUAGAUGCUUCCCUGCAGGGAAGAGCCAUCACCAUUGAUUGCUCCUUAACUUUGCAUAUGAUUCUCAGCCUAUCAUCUUUCCAUUUCUCAAAAAGAACUGGAUGCCUUUUCCUCUUUUCUUUGGUCCAGUUUUCAUGUUCCUGAAUAAUAAUAAUAUCCUGCAACCACAAUGAAAGGGACCUAACCGCUGCCUCCAUUUGCCUGCAGAGACGGAUUUGCCGCACGAUCGGGUGAGAACUGUGCGGGAGACGCUGCCUGGAAGGCAUAUCCGACGCGGUGGCGCUCUGCGGAUCAGGCCAGGGCGCUGGUUUCUUGACGGAGUUCGGCAUAUGAUAGGGACUCGCAACAGAAAGCAGUCAUAUGUUGAUAGGUAGAUAGAUAUGCUCCCACCUCUUAAGAUGCUUCGUGCAUCCCAUGCUCUAGAUCUAUUAUCCGCGGAAUGUUUAUCACAUGGGCAUCUUGAUAAUUUUAUAUAUCCUUUAUUAUACGGAUGGAAAUGUAACAGUUUAUAUAUUCUAGAAAAGCGAGAGCGCUUGGUUGCUGUCAAUUUUUUUACAUUGCCUUACUGCAGUUGAGAACUUGCAGGGCUUCUGCUGGCAGUGUUCUAUCAUCUUUUUGGAAUCUCAGCGAACAGCAGUUCGUUUCUUUUGGUUAUAUAAAUGUUUUGCCAUCAGUUUUGCUAUAUGCAGGUUGCUUCAUCUUGUUUCAUUGGGUCAAUCAGUUAUCCAGGACCGUUUGAUUUGUUUAGAAAUCCGUGCCUAUGAUUGUGGGUAUUGAUACAUGAAGUGAUUAUAUAGUUUUGAA
RNAcentral lists this long non-coding RNA (2255 nucleotides) under Triticum aestivum (bread wheat). RNAcentral's name for it is "long non-coding RNA (TAES_LNC028271)". The record is from RNAcentral. Lineage: Eukaryota; Viridiplantae; Streptophyta; Magnoliopsida; Poales; Poaceae.